CAGCCGCCGCGGUAAUACGUAGGGUGCGAGCGUUAAUCGGAAUUACUGGGCGUAAAGCGUGCGCAGGCGGUUAUAUAAGACAGAUGUGAAAUCCCCGGGCUCAACCUGGGAACUGCAUUUGAGACUGUAUGGCUAGAGUGUGUCAGAGGGGGGUAGAAUUCCACGUGUAGCAGUGAAAUGCGUAGAUAUGUGGAGGAAUACCGAUGGUGAAGGCAGCCCCCUGGGAUAACACUGACGCUCAUGCACGAAAGCGUGGGGAGCAAACAGGAUUAGAUACCCGCGUAGUCCCUGUCUCUUAUAC
Molecule: ribosomal RNA, 301 nt
Filed under: uncultured bacterium
Lineage: Bacteria
Description: partial 16S ribosomal RNA
Rfam family: Bacterial small subunit ribosomal RNA
Source: RNAcentral